This 1431-nucleotide ribosomal RNA is filed under the name uncultured organism. RNAcentral describes it as "16S ribosomal RNA". It matches the Rfam family "Bacterial small subunit ribosomal RNA". The record is from RNAcentral.
ACGCUGGCGGCGUGCUUAACACAUGCAAGUCGAACGGAAAGGCCCUGCUUUUGUGGGGUGCUCGAGUGGCGAACGGGUGAGUAACACGUGAGUAACCUGCCCUUGACUUUGGGAUAACUUCAGGAAACUGGGGCUAAUACCGGAUAGGAGCUCCUGCUGCAUGGUGGGGGUUGGAAAGUUUCGGCGGUUGGGGAUGGACUCGCGGCUUAUCAGCUUGUUGGUGGGGUAGUGGCUUACCAAGGCUUUGACGGGUAGCCGGCCUGAGAGGGUGACCGGCCACAUUGGGACUGAGAUACGGCCCAGACUCCUACGGGAGGCAGCAGUGGGGAAUAUUGCACAAUGGGCGGAAGCCUGAUGCAGCAACGCCGCGUGCGGGAUGACGGCCUUCGGGUUGUAAACCGCUUUCGCCUGUGACGAAGCGUGAGUGACGGUAAUGGGUAAAGAAGCACCGGCUAACUACGUGCCAGCAGCCGCGGUGAUACGUAGGGUGCGAGCGUUGUCCGGAUUUAUUGGGCGUAAAGGGCUCGUAGGUGGUUGAUCGCGUCGGAAGUGUAAUCUUGGGGCUUAACCCUGAGCGUGCUUUCGAUACGGGUUGACUUGAGGAAGGUAGGGGAGAAUGGAAUUCCUGGUGGAGCGGUGGAAUGCGCAGAUAUCAGGAGGAACACCAGUGGCGAAGGCGGUUCUCUGGGCCUUUCCUGACGCUGAGGAGCGAAAGCGUGGGGAGCGAACAGGCUUAGAUACCCUGGUAGUCCACGCUGUAAACGGUGGGUACUAGGUGUGGGGUCCAUUCCACGGGUUCCGUGCCGUAGCUAACGCUUUAAGUACCCCGCCUGGGGAGUACGGCCGCAAGGCUAAAACUCAAAGGAAUUGACGGGGCCCCGCACAAGCGGCGGAGCAUGCGGAUUAAUUCGAUGCAACGCGUAGAACCUUACCUGGGUUUGACAUGGAUCGGGAGUGCUCAGAGAUGGGUGUGCCUCUUUUGGGGUCGGUUCACAGGUGAUGCAUGGCUGUCGUCAGCUCGUGUCGUGAGAUGUUGGGUUAAGUCCCGCAACGAGCGCAACCCUUGUUCACUGUUGCCAGCACGUUAUGGUGGGGACUCAGUGGAGACCGCCGGGGUCAACUCGGAGGAAGGCGGGGAUGACGUCAAGUCAUCAUGCCCCUUAUGUCCAGGGCUUCACGCAUGCUACAAUGGCUGGUACAGAGAGUGGCGAGCCUGUGAGGGUGAGCGAAUCUCGGAAAGCCGGUCUCAGUUCGGAUUGGGGUCUGCAACUCGACCUCAUGAAGUCGGAGUCGCUAGUAAUCGCAGAUCAGCAACGCUGCGGUGAAUACGUUCCCGGGGCUUGUACACACCGCCCGUCAAGUCAUGAAAGUUGGUAACACCCGAAGCCGGUGGCCUAACCGUUGUGGGGGAGCCGUCGAAGGUGGGACUGG